CUGUUUUAUCAAAAACAUCGCCUCUUGACAAACUAUAAGAGGUCCAGCCUGCCCAGUGAUAUUAUUCAACGGCCGCGGUAUCCUAACCGCGCGAAGGUAGCAUAAUCACUUGUUCUUUAAAUAGGGACUAGUAUCAAUGGCACCACGAGGGUUGCACUGUCUCCUCUCUCCAAUCAGUGAAACUGAUCUCCCCGUGAAGAAGCGGGGAUAAACCAAUAAGACGAGAAGACCCCAUGGAGCUUAAAAUCUAAUAGCAACUUUGCCACAUAAUCCACCAUAUUUUACAGAGCCAUGCUAGCAAAUUUUAGGUUGGGGCGACCGCGGAGUAAAAAUCACCCUCCAUGACGAAAAGAACUAAACCUUUAUCUAAGAACUACUAUUCUAAGAAUUAGCAUACUAACGAACCAUGACCCGAUAAUCGAUCAACGGACCAAGUUACCCUGGGGAUAACAGCGCAAUCUACUUUGAGAGUCCAUAUCGACAAGUAGGCUUACGACCUCGAUGUUGGAUCAAGGUAUCCUAGUGGUGCAGCCGCUACUAAUGGUUCGUUUGUUCAACGAUUAAAACCUUACGUGA
Molecule: ribosomal RNA, 576 nt
Filed under: Rhacophorus nigropalmatus
Lineage: Eukaryota; Metazoa; Chordata; Amphibia; Anura; Rhacophoridae
Description: partial 16S ribosomal RNA
Rfam family: Bacterial large subunit ribosomal RNA
Source: RNAcentral